CAAUAGUACUGAACAUUCAUUUUCUUGCUUCCCUUCAUGGUUCCGGAGGUACUUGUGAAUUAGGGAGCUCUUUGCUCUUUGCAAUAGUUGCACGUGGCGAAUGAAGCACAUUUUGCAUUAUUAACCAACUACUCAUCUCCAAAUCACAGGUCCAUCAGCGGAACACCCAGAUGUGUGCAAUAACAAUUAAAUUCAGUUGUCUCCAAUGUUUUGCUGACUUCUACUUGUAUGAAAACUGUAACUUCACGUGCACUUAAAAUUUUACAGUUAUGAAGUAUUUCUCAAGUAUUUCAGUGACAGGAUCCACUCAGGAGAGUCGGGGCAAGGCUGGCUGAGGUUCUCAAGGAGCUGAGUUUUGAGUUCAGGUGCCUGCGUGGCAGUGGAAUGAUGCUUCCUGACCUCUCAGACCUUUGAGACCUCUGGGCGGUCUUAGACUUCACCUGGAGCCUCCUGUCCAGCAUGCGACCAUCUAGGGGAGUUCCAGGGAAAGGUGGCAGAGAUAUCAUGGACUGAAAGGUGAUGGGUACCCCAAUGAGCUCACUACAAGAUCUCAAAGAUUCCAAGCCACUGGCUGCUCCAAAGCAUAAAGCCACCCUUCUGGAGAGUCGGCAGG
Molecule: long non-coding RNA, 613 nt
Organism: Herpailurus yagouaroundi (jaguarundi)
Lineage: Eukaryota; Metazoa; Chordata; Mammalia; Carnivora; Felidae
Exons: 3
Source: RefSeq, a predicted model, not a curated record